UUACGGUCACAUCACUAUGAAACAUCGAUUCCCGUACGAUCACCGAAGAUAAGCAACGUCAAGUCUGGUCAGUAUUUAGAUGGGUGACUCCUUAAGGAAUAUCAGGUGCUGUAAG
Non-coding RNA from Acanthosepion pharaonis, 115 nucleotides. The record is from the annotation of a GenBank genome assembly. Lineage: Eukaryota; Metazoa; Mollusca; Cephalopoda; Sepiida; Sepiidae.